Molecule: ribosomal RNA, 349 nt
Filed under: uncultured Pelotomaculum sp.
Lineage: Bacteria; Bacillati; Bacillota; Clostridia; Eubacteriales; Desulfotomaculaceae
Description: bacterial SSU rRNA
Rfam family: Bacterial small subunit ribosomal RNA
Source: RNAcentral
ACAGGUGGUGCAUGGUUGUCGUCAGCUCGUGUCGUGAGAUGUUGGGUUAAGUCCCGCAACGAGCGCAACCCCUACGUUUAGUUGCUAACGCGUGAAGGCGAGCACUCUAGACGAACUGCCGUUGACAAAACGGAGGAAGGUGGGAUGACGUCAAAUCAUCAUGCCCCUUAUGUUCUGGGCUACACACGUGCUACAAUGGCCGGUACAGACGGACGCAAAGCCGCGAGGUGGAGCAAAUCCUAAAAAGCCGGUCUCAAGUUCGGAUUGCAGGCUGCAAUUCGCCUGCAUGAAGUCGGAAUCGCUAGUAAUCGCAGGUCAGCAUACUGCGGUGAAUACGUUCCCGGGCCUU